AUUGAACGCUGGCGGCAUGCCUUACACAUGCAAGUCGAACGGUAACAGGUCUUCGGAUGCUGACGAGUGGCGAACGGGUGAGUAAUACAUCGGAACGUGUCUAGUAGUGGGGGAUAACUACUCGAAAGAGUGGCUAAUACCGCAUGAGAUCUACGGAUGAAAGCAGGGGAUCGCAAGACCUUGUGCUACUAGAGCGGCCGAUGGCAGAUUAGGUAGUUGGUGGGAUAAAAGCUUACCAAGCCGACGAUCUGUAGCUGGGCUGAGUGGACGAUCAGCCACACUGGGACUGAGACACGGCCAAGACUCCUACGGGAGGCAGCAGUGGGGAAUUUUGGACAAUGGGCGAAAGCCUGAUCCAGCAAUGCCGCGUGCAGGAUGAAGGCCUUCGGGUUGUAAACUGCUUUUGUACGGAACGAAAAGCCCCGGGUUAAUACCCUGGGGUCAUGACGGUACCGUAAGAAUAAGCACCGGCUAACUACGUGCCAGCCGCCGCGGUAA
RNAcentral lists this ribosomal RNA (498 nucleotides) under uncultured bacterium. RNAcentral's name for it is "partial 16S ribosomal RNA". It matches the Rfam family "Bacterial small subunit ribosomal RNA", at positions 30 to 523 of the family's 1533-position model. The record is from RNAcentral.